GACGAACGCUGGCGGCGUGCUUAACACAUGCAAGUCGAACGAUGAAGCCUAGCUUGCUGGGUGGAAGAGUGGCGAACGGGUGAGUAACACGUGAGUAACCUGCCCCUGACUCUGGGAUAAGCGCUAGAAAUGGCGUCUAAUACUGGAUAUGACCUAUCACCGCAUGGUGUGUGGGUGGAAAGAUUUAUCGGUUGGGGAUGGACUCGCGGCCUAUCAGCUUGUUGGUGAGGUAAUGGCUCACCAAGGCGACGACGGGUAGCCGGCCUGAGAGGGUGACCGGCCGCACUGGGACUGAGACACGGCCCAGACUCCUACGGGAGGCAGCAGUGGGGAAUAUUGCACAAUGGGCGCAAGCCUGAUGCAGCAACGCCGCGUGAGGGAUGACGGCCUUCGGGUUGUAAACCUCUUUUAGUAGGGAAGAAGCGAAAGUGACGGUACCUGCAGAAAAAGCACCGGCUAACUACGUGCCAGCCGCCGCCGUAA
RNAcentral lists this ribosomal RNA (483 nucleotides) under uncultured bacterium. Its description in RNAcentral is "partial 16S ribosomal RNA". It matches the Rfam family "Bacterial small subunit ribosomal RNA", at positions 28 to 523 of the family's 1533-position model. The record is from RNAcentral.